UUUAAUUAAAAAUUUAAUUUUUUUAUUGGGUUAGAUUUCUUUUAAUUUAAAGAAUUUUAUUGUUGUGUUAGUUUUAGUAAAGUUUAUUGAAUAGAUUAUAUAAUUUAUAGUUAAUUUAGUAUUGUGAAAGAAUAUUGAAAUAUAUUGAAAAUAUUAUUUUUGUAAAGUAGAUUUAUGAUUGUACCUUGUGUAUCAGGGUUAAUUAAUUAAUUAUUAAUUAUUUAAUAAUCCCGAUUUAAAGAGAGUUAAUAUAAUAUUUUAGUUAAUGUUUUAUAAUUAUUAAAAAUAUUAUGUUGGUAAUGAAAUGUUAAUCGAUCUUUAAUAUAUCUGGUUUUCUAAGAAUUGAAUUUAAUUCAGUUAUUAAUAUUUAAGUUAUUAAAUUAAAGAAUGAUUUAUAUAAUUAAUAGUAGAAAUUUGGGGGAUAAGCUCUGGGUUUUAACUUAAAAAUAUUUAAUUUGUAUGAAUAAAAGUAGGCUUUAAAUUAGCUUUCUUUGGAAUAUGUUAUAAUUCAUUUAUGAUAUAUGUAUAUAAUUAAUGAUUUUAUAAAUGAUUUAAGUGUUGUAUUGGAAUAAUUUUAAUAAUGAUUUAUAAUUUGUGAUAAUGAUUAAAUUAGUAUAAUAAAUAAUGUUUAAUUAAUUUUAUUAAUUAAUUUAUAAUAAGGAAUUAGGCAAAAAUAGUACUCGCCUGUUUAACAAAAACAUGUCUUUAUGUUUAAUUGAAUAUAUAAAGUCUGGCCUGCCCACUGAGAAUAUUUGAAGGGCCGCGGUAUUUUGACCGUGCAAAGGUAGCAUAAUCAUUAGUCUUUUAAUUGGAGGCUGGUAUGAAUGGUUUAACGAGGUAUUAACUGUCUCAUUAUAAAAUUUUGAAUUUAACUUUUUAGUCAAAAGGCUAAAAUGAUUUUAGAGGACGAGAAGACCCUAUAGAGCUUUAUAAUAAAUUUAGAUAAUUAAUUUUAGUGGGUUUAAUUUAAUUUUUUAAAGAAAUUAUUUAGUUGGGGUGACUUGAAGAUUAAAUAAACUCUUUAUUUAAUAAACAUUAAUUUAUGGUAAGAUGAUCCAUUAUUAGUGAUUAAAAGAUUAAGUUACCUUAGGGAUAACAGCGUAAUUUUUUUUAAGAGUUCUUAUCAACAAGAAAGAUUGCGACCUCGAUGUUGGACUAAGGAAUAUUAUUGGGUGUAGAAGUUUAAUAAAUAGGUCUGUUCGACCUUUAAAUCCUUACAUGAUCUGAGUUCAGACCGGCGUAAGCCAGGUCGGUUUCUAUCCUUAAUUAAUUAAAAUAUUUUAGUACGAAAGGACCAAAUAUUUAAAAAAUUUUUAUAUAAUAUGAUUGUUAUUAAAUUAAUUUU
This 1345-nucleotide ribosomal RNA is filed under the name Anabropsis carnarius. Its description in RNAcentral is "Pteranabropsis carnarius 16S ribosomal RNA". The stretch from base 905 to 1262 matches the Rfam family "Bacterial large subunit ribosomal RNA", at positions 2078 to 2643 of the family's 2925-position model. The record is from RNAcentral. Lineage: Eukaryota; Metazoa; Arthropoda; Insecta; Orthoptera; Anostostomatidae.